RNAcentral lists this unclassified non-coding RNA (1081 nucleotides) under Hevea brasiliensis (rubber tree). The record is from RNAcentral. Lineage: Eukaryota; Viridiplantae; Streptophyta; Magnoliopsida; Malpighiales; Euphorbiaceae.
AAUUAAAUAUUAAAAUUAAAAAAAAUCAUUACAUUACAAUAUUACUUGCAUUUUUUUAUUUUGUAACUAAAUAUGAAAAUAAAAUGAUGAUUAUAUUGCAUCAUUCAUUUCAUUAUUAUAUAAUUAAUUACAUUACAUCGUAAUACUUUCUACCAAAUGUAACAUCUACCAAAUGUAACAUGGCUGAUUAAACAAGUGAUUUGUCCAGCAAAAGUAGAAUUAAACAUCACCAAAUAUCCCCGCUUAUUUUCCCUCCAUGGUGUGAUUUUCUACGACCUCUGGUUCUUGGAGAAGAAUCGAAGAGUUAUGUAGAAAAACAUCCUGUAUAGAACUGCCCAACCCAACAUCACGAGCACCUUCUCCCACUUCUCUGAUUCUUUGGUACUAAUAUUGAGUGAUUUUAAGAUGGAAUUGCCACUUAUAGGAUCCCCAUUUGGAGCAUAGCCAAAAAUAUCUGUUGUCUGGUACUGGUUCAUCAAUAGCCCUUCAUAUGGAUAUGUCAUAGUGGAAAUCUUGUUCAUCCACUUCCAAUAUAUGGGAAUAUCAUGGCUAUUCAAGAAGUAUCCACAGAACAAGAAAAAGAGAGCAGUGAAGGCAAUUACAGCUGCAUAACCCAGAAUAAAAUUUGGCACCACUGAGCUCACAAACACCACAAAUGAGUUGGUGGAGAGAAGGGAAACAUAGAGAACGAGCAAGAAAUAGUAGAACGGUCCGCGCAGCUUUAAGGCUUUCCAAACAAUAGCAGCAUAAACACCAGAUUGGAGUGCAAGAAAGGGAAGGUAAGUGAUGAGGCCAGAAAUGGUGUAAGAAGAGGCUCUAUAGGCAUUGUGGGAAGUUUCGCGGAUGAAAAUAAAACGUUCUUGGAUAAAGGCAGGAACAGCAUCAUUGGAAGAGAAGAAGAAGAGACAAACAGUGAAAAUGAAGAAACUAAGACGAUUGGUGAUUCCUUGAGAAUUAUCUUUAGGGUUCAAGAACAUGGUUGCCAUCAUGAAGCCCAUAGUGGUUAGGACCACGAGUCUUGAAACGAAAAGCUCAGGGGUUCUUCUAAUGUUCUUGAAGUUUCGGCGCAUAAGAAUCCAAG